UACGUAUGGUGCGAGCGUUGUCCGGAAUUAUUGGGCGUAAAGAGCUUGUAGGCGGUUUGUCGCGUCUGCCGUGAAAGCCCAGGGCUUAACCCUGGGUCUGCGGUGGGUACGGGCAGACUAGAGUGUGGUAGGGGAGACUGGAAUUCCUGGUGUAGCGGUGAAAUGCGCAGAUAUCAGGAGGAACACCGGUGGCGAAGGCGGGUCUCUGGGCAACAACUGACGCUGAGGAGCGAAAGCGUGGGGAGCGAACAGG
This 253-nucleotide ribosomal RNA is filed under the name uncultured bacterium. RNAcentral describes it as "partial 16S ribosomal RNA". It matches the Rfam family "Bacterial small subunit ribosomal RNA", at positions 524 to 776 of the family's 1533-position model. The record is from RNAcentral.